This is a non-coding RNA of Paramuricea clavata, 218 nucleotides long. The record is from the annotation of a GenBank genome assembly. Lineage: Eukaryota; Metazoa; Cnidaria; Anthozoa; Malacalcyonacea; Plexauridae.
CAUGAGCAGCAGUGUUUUAUCAGAAAUAAAGAUGAUCUGAUAAAACACACACUGCUAGUGUUUUAAUUCUAGUAAGUUCAUUGGCGAAGUAACUUUCAAAAAAUUCGUUGUGUAUGUCGAGAAAAUCAUAGUUAAAGUUUAUGUAAAUCAAGCAGGGUUGGUAAGUUAGAAGAAUAAUUAGGCCAAAUCGUUAUUAGUGCCGUUUAGAAAACAAAGAA